Molecule: long non-coding RNA, 1760 nt
Organism: Mytilus californianus (California mussel)
Lineage: Eukaryota; Metazoa; Mollusca; Bivalvia; Mytilida; Mytilidae
Exons: 2
Source: RefSeq, a predicted model, not a curated record
AACAAAACAAGAAAUGAUUGUAACAGGAUGCUGUUACGAAGUCUCCCAAACGAAGCUCCCAUAAUUCGUAAUUCCCAGGGUCGCCUGACAUUGGGCAAAGUCCAGUGAAAAUUGGUUAGGUCCAGUAAAGUUAUAUGCAUUAGUGAUGCCUAGGGACUAACCCUGAAUAUCAUUCAAAUCAUCUUGGCAUGACAAACCAGAAUAUAUAUGGUUAAGGGUUGGGGAUCUCGACCAUUUACAAGAUAUUAGAACUUUCUCAAAUGGCAGGGGAUCGGGAUGACCCCUGGGGAUUAACCCUGUAUAUCAUUCAAACCAUCUUAGCAUGACAAACCAUAAUAUAUAUGGUUUAGGGGUGGGGAUCUCGACCACUUACAAGAUAUUAGAACUUUCUUAAAUGGCAUGGGGUGGGGGUGACCCCUGGGGACUAACCCUGUAUUUCAUUUCAUGUGUUUUAUCAUGACAAACCAGAAUAUAUAUGGUUUAGGGGUGGGGAUCUCGACCAUUUACAAGAUAUUAGAACUUUCUCAAAUGGCAGGGGGUCGGGAUGACCCCUGGGGACUAACCCUGUAUAUCAUUCAAACCAUCUUAGCAUGACAAACCAUAAUAUAUAUGGUUUAGGGGUGGGGAUCGUGACCACUUACAAGAUAUUAGAACUUUCUUAAAUGGCAUGGGGUGGGGGUGACCCCUGGGGACUAACCCUGUAUUUCAUUUGAUGUGCUUUAUCAUGACAAACCAGAAUAUAUAUGGUUUAGGGGUGGGGAUCUCGACCAUUUACAAGAUAUUAGAACUUUCUCAAAUGGCAGGGGGUUGUGAUGACCCCUGGGGACUAACCCUGUAUAUCAUUCAAACCAUCUUAGCAUGACAAACCAGAAUAUAUAUGGUUUAGGGGUAGGGAUCUCGACCAUUUACAAGAUAUUAGAACUUUCUCAAAUGGCAGGGGGUUGGGAUGACCCAUGGGGACUAACCCUGUAUAUCAUUCAAACCAUCUUAGCAUGACAAACCAGAAUAUAUAUGGUUUAGGGGUGGGGAUCUUGACCAUUUACAAGAUAAUAGAACUUUCUCAAAUGGCAGGGGGUCGGGAUGACCCCUGGGGACUAACCCUGUAUAUCAUUCAAACCAUCUUAGCAUGACAAACCAGAAUAUAUAUGGUUUAGGGGUGGGGAUCUCGACCAUUUACAAGAUAUUAGAACUUUCUCAAAUGGCAGGGGGUCGGGAUGACCCCUGGGGACUAACCCUGUAUAUCAUUCAAACCAUCUUAGCAUGACAAACCAGAAUAUAUAUGGUUUAGGGGUGGGGAUCUUGACCACUUACAAGGUAUUAGAACUUUCUUAAAUGGCAGGGGGUGGGGGUGACCCCUGGGGACUAACCCUGUAUUUCAUUUAAUGGGUUUUAUCAUUUAGAACAUUUUCAAUUAAAAAGAUUGUGUCUAUCACAAACGGUUUUCAAUUUAUAAUCAUUUGAAAAUUUUAAAAAAUAAAAUCCCAUAGGGUUCUAUAGUAAAACCCUCUUUUCUUUUUGCCCCUCAAAGUACCCCUUUAUAAACCCCAUUGCACAAACAAAACCCUGAUUGCACCACUAGACAUGUUAGUCUAACAUAUUGUGAAAUCCUAAGUUAAUCUGACAAGCGGUUUUGGAGAACGGGUGCGGACAAGUUCAAAUUUAAAAGCGGCGGAAGAGGAAGAGGAAGAAGAAUAAUAAUAAUAAUAAGAACUGAGUAAAAACAAUAAGUCUUCCCAAACUUCGUUUGGGAGACUUAAAUA